CUACGGGUUGCUGCAGUGGGGAAUAUUGGACAAUGGGGGAAACCCUGAUCCAGCAAUGCCGCGUGUGUGAAGAAGGCCUGCGGGUUGUAAAGCACUUUCGGUUGGGAGGACUGCUUCUAGCACUAAUAUUGUUGGAAGUUGACGUUACCUUCAGAAGAAGCACCGGCUAACUCCGUGCCAGCAGCCGCGGUAGUGACGGAGGGUGCAAGCGUUAAUCGGAAUUACUGGGCGUAAAGCGCGCGUAGGCGGCUAGAUCAGUCGGGUGUGAAAGCCCCGGGCUUAACCUGGGAACUGCAUCCGAUACUGUCUAGCUUGAGCACAGGAGAGGAGAGUGGAAUUCCACAUGUGGCGGUGAAAGGCGUAGAUAUGUGGAGGAACACCAAUGGCGAAGGCAGCUCUCUGGCCUGAUACUGACGCUGAGGUGCGAAAGCGUGGGGAGCAAACAGGAUUAGAUACCCCUGUAGUC
RNAcentral lists this ribosomal RNA (466 nucleotides) under uncultured bacterium. Its description in RNAcentral is "partial 16S ribosomal RNA". It matches the Rfam family "Bacterial small subunit ribosomal RNA", at positions 339 to 795 of the family's 1533-position model. The record is from RNAcentral.